Molecule: long non-coding RNA, 1973 nt
Organism: Pantherophis guttatus
Lineage: Eukaryota; Metazoa; Chordata; Lepidosauria; Squamata; Colubridae
Source: RefSeq, a predicted model, not a curated record
CCACUGUCCUUUGGAAAGAAUAGGAUACAGUUCAGUUAGCCACAGAAAAUCUACAUCCCAUGGAUCUUCUUUGAGGGUGUCUUAAUCUGGAUACUGUUAUUUAAUCUAGGUAUCUUAAAUAUAUGGAAGGGUUUGAUAAUUUCUGCAAAUAUCAUGCAGGUAUCAUUUUAGCUGUGACAAUCUUUCCUGAAUAAAAGAAGAGAUAAUUCCUAUUUUAAGUGCUCCCUUAGUGCCUGCUCUUUAAUUACCCUGCACUUUGUUCCAGGAAGAAAAUCUUUAGAUGAAUGGAUGGAUGGAUUUUCACAAACACCUCACAAGUUAGCAACUAAAUUAGUCAUCUUCAAGACCAGAAAAAUUGUUCACCCUUGCAUUGAAGCCGUUGCAUUAAAAAAAAAAACCCUAGAUCCUGUGACUUAUUUUCUUCAACAUAAACAGAUCUAAAUACCCAUGCUGUCCAAGGAAUAUCCUACUUUACUUGAGAGCCACUCAAUAAGGGCAAGGUUAAUGCUUCAAUAUCCUUUAAACUUUCUUGUGUGCAUUCAUAUGAAGAUAUUUCUCCAUAAUCAUACCCAGGAAAAAAAUGCAGGAUAGAUCUAUCACCUUCCUACGAACCCACAAUCAAGAUGGAGCACAAUGGUUCAGCAGAUAAAAGAUGCUGAGCUUGUGAGCUAGAAAGCUGACAACUUGGGUUCGAGACCUACCGCACAAUGGAAACUCCUAGAUUUCAUCUGUCUGAAGAACCUGUGGUGAUCUGAGGCAAUGGAGGUAUUCAGCUGGUUCUAUCUGGUUUGGGCGAACAGGUAUCAGCGGCUGUGGGAGGCUCUGCCCAUCAUCCGGACAUCCCGUUUUUGACACUCUGCUCAUGUGUGGAAGGCUCUGCACAUGUGCAGAGGUGGACACUCACAUUUGCUAACCAGUAGCGAAGGUAAGUGAAUACCACCCCUGAUCUGAGGUUCCCUCCUUGUCCAUAGAUUGAUUAUGGGGAGCCAUUUUACUCUCCAGCUCUUCAUUCUUCUGUGGUCAUCAACUCUGUUUUUAGAGGAGCCAUCUUCAAUUUCUUCUUUGGAAGUCCAUUCCUGAAUAAAUGAAUUAUAUGGGGAAUUAACCCACUAAAUGUGAAGUCUUAACAAGUAUUACAACACUUGAAAGCAAUCUAUAUAAAAAUGUAAAUGUCCGUUUGUACAUAACCGCACAUCUCCGAAAGUUCUUCACCGAUUGCUUUCAAAUUUUGACACAACGUUGCAUUCGACUACAGGCAUGUUUUUAUAUACCUAUAUUAUAUAUAUGUCACACGUGUGACAGGUGAAAACAUGAAAAACAUUGGAAAACAUUGAAAGACAUUGACAAACAUUGACAAACAUUGAAAAACAGAGCCAUCUGCUGGACGUAAAACCAACAUGGCAGCCUCCCAGCCCUGAUUACGCUCAACAGAUUUCUGCUCCUUAUAUUUAGACUCUCCAUAUUGCUUCCAAGAAACUGCGCAUUUGGAAGGCAGAGACGCCCGAGGGCCAUAUCCUGCCACCAGGCUCGGCAGGUAGGCAGCUGGCUCCCCACUGGGAAGCCCUCGCAGCCAGCGCUUCUAGGGCUGGGCGGGGCCCACCCAAGCCUGGCUCUGACCUUCCCCUCUCCCAGCCACCCUGCGAACUAGCCUCACCUGCCGCUGCUGCCCAUCCCCCUCGCCAGCCGCUCUCGGGACUCCCUCCAAAGAACACCUGGCAAUGAGGCUGCCUGGGUCCACCAAGCAGGAACCCUCCGUCCCUCGCCUGGCCCGAAUUGUGCCUGGCCCAGUGCUACCACGGGCCCCGAGGUCAGAAAGACCAGCCGCUAACUGGCGCUAUGCGAAUCCGGUCAGUGAGCGGGAGAUGGAGGCAACUGGAGCCUCAGGGUUGCCUUUGACCAGCGCUGCCUUUGAUUCCCAGGUGGGCGCUCUGGCAGUUCACGGAGCCUACAUGAAAAUUUCAGCCUCUGGCAGA